Molecule: long non-coding RNA, 202 nt
Filed under: Medicago truncatula (barrel medic)
Lineage: Eukaryota; Viridiplantae; Streptophyta; Magnoliopsida; Fabales; Fabaceae
Description: long non-coding RNA (MTRU_LNC007198)
Source: RNAcentral
ACAAAAGAAGAAGUUCUCAAGAUUAAUCUGACUUUCUUAAGGAUAAGCCGCAAAUAUGGAUAAGUCGGGCUAAAACCCACAUUAACAUAUAACGGAAUAUUGGAUGAAGAUGAUCAUCCAACGCAGCAGACAGACAGUGGGGGCUUUAUCAUUUGCAUUUUUAACCACAAUUUGAUUAACAUAGUUAACGUUCAAAUAUGGC